This 509-nucleotide ribosomal RNA is filed under the name uncultured bacterium. RNAcentral describes it as "partial 16S ribosomal RNA". It matches the Rfam family "Bacterial small subunit ribosomal RNA", at positions 28 to 506 of the family's 1533-position model. The record is from RNAcentral.
GACGAACGCUGGUGGCGUGCUUAACACAUGCAAGUCGAACGAAGAGCGAUGGAAGCUUGCUUCUAUCAAUCUUAGUGGCGAACGGGUGAGUAACGCGUAAUCAACCUGCCCUUCAGAGGGGGACAACAGUUGGAAACGACUGCUAAUACCGCAUACGAUCUAAUCUCGGCAUCGAGGAUAGAUGAAAGGUGACCUCUACAUGUAAGCUAUCACUGAAGGAGGGGAUUGCGUCUGAUUAGCUAGUUGGAGGGGUAACGGCCCACCAAGGCGAUGAUCAGUAGCCGGUCUGAGAGGAUGAACGGCCACAUUGGGACUGAGACACGGCCCAGACUCCUACGGGAGGCAGCAGUGGGGAAUCUUCCGCAAUGGACGAAAGUCUGACGGAGCAACGCCGCGUGAGUGAUGACGGCCUUCGGGUUGUAAAGCUCUGUUAAUCGGGACGAAAGGCCUUCUUGCGAAUAGUGAGAAGGAUUGACGGUACCGGAAUAGAAAGCCACGGCUAACUACGU